This is a long non-coding RNA of Papaver somniferum (opium poppy), 1766 nucleotides long. RefSeq lists it as uncharacterized. The transcript is spliced from 7 exons. The record is from RefSeq and is a predicted model, not a curated record. Lineage: Eukaryota; Viridiplantae; Streptophyta; Magnoliopsida; Ranunculales; Papaveraceae.
AACAAAAUUUUCACCAAAAUUCUUUUCCCUCCCCUGUAACCCUAGCCGCAUCUUUGCUUAUAAUGUUGUAACUAAACCCACACACAUAACUUCAUUCCCAUUCACCACCAAAAGAUAAUCAAACAAGAAGAUAAUUUUCUUUCACCAAAAUCAAAAUCGAAAACCCAAAACUUUUUGUUUUUAAUCUACCGUAAUCGAAAUCCAUCUCCGAAUCUGAGUGAUUUUUGUUCGACAAAAAAAAUCAUCAUCAAUAACAACGAUGGCCACACAUUUCUUCCCAUUAAAAAACCCAUUUAAGAGUUUGAUUUCCCAGUCAAUUUUUAACCCGAUUUGGAAUAUGACUUCAGAUGGAUGCUUAGUAUGUUGUAAUCUGAAACCCAUGAAAUGUUUUGGUAUUCAAUCAUUUACAAUUUUUCUAUCUAGUGGAGGAAAUUAGAGUUCAUCCGAUUGUAACUGCAGAAAUCCAUUAAUCUGUUAGGCCUGAGUUUUGGUUCGUUUGAAGGAUUUGGACGUUUGGGCAUCCAUCGGCAACUGAAAUAAUCAUCAGUUCGGGAAAGAGGAUUACCUACCAGGUGAUAUGGCUUUGCUUAGUGUCCACUGGACAGGAGUAACUCUAACAUUAGAAUUUUCUGCUGUUGGUAUGUGAGUUGUAACUGGAAUAAGGGUGUUCUGCUAAAGCAAGCUUUUGUCUUCAUGACGAAAUUGGUGUUGGUGUUGUGUAGGACUUAUGGAAUUCACUGAAGUGGUGAAGUACCUCAAGCAUUCAGGGAAGUUUGCACGCCAUGGCGGAAAGCUGCUCAAGCCUUGAGGCGCAGGUUUUGGUUUAUUUGAAGAAUUUGGAUGCUUGGGUAUCCAUCAGCAGCUGAAAUUAAUCACCAGUUUGGGUUGAGUAUUUGAGGACUUAGGGUUGUGCUUUACACAUUUUAUCUGAGAUGAUUGCACUCGAAAUUAAUCUGUGGUUGAAUAAGCAUUGCACGAAUUGGUUAUCCUUCCGCUCUGAAGACCUGAAUUAUUUGCUGGGAAGCUCCUCAGUCCACAGAAAGGUGUAUUGUUAUAUAGUCCACCAGGAACUGGCAAGACUAUAUAUGCUUGCCAAGGCAAUAGCAAAGGAGUCCGGAGCAGUAAAAACGUUAGUGUCUCAAGCUUGAAGAGCAAGUGGUUUGGAGAUGCUCAAAAGCUUGUUGCUGCCGUGUUCACUUUAGCUCAUAAGCUUCAACCAACUAUUAUCUUUAUUGAUGAGGUUGAUAGCUUUUUGGGCAGCACCAUGCAACUGACCACGAAGCUUUGACAAAAUCCAGUCUGUAUCUCGGCCUGAAGAGUUCCCAACAAAAGAGAUACAGAUACAACAGCUACCGGUCCAAUGUGGGAACAAAACUGGAGUCUGCAACGACAAGAAAGAAACAAGAUAAGAUUAUCAUGCAAUUAAGACGCUGUUAUCACACAAUUUAUAGUUACUGGCAAGUACUGAUAUGUUUGUGAUGGAAAUUGCAGUUGAUAAAGUUGCAAUUGAUAGGGAAGAAUUUGGGUUUUACUUUUUAAAUUGUUGAAUUUGACUUUGAGUGUUAUGGGUUGCUGGGUUUGUAAAAGAGCGGUUUAUGAUACAAUCCUACAUCAAUUCACAUAUAUUUGUCUUAAUGUUGUCAAAUUUUGUUCGUGACAUUUGAUCAAUACCCGACUCUAGCUGCACUAAGCACUAGAUUGUUCCCAGAACUGUAUCACAUUUGUGGAAACUUUAGUUUGAUUUAACCGAAUAUGGGAAUUGAAUA